UACGUAGGGUGCAAGCGUUGUCCGGAAUUAUUGGGCGUAAAGAGCUCGUAGGUGGUUUGUCGCGUUGUUCGUGAAAACUCACAGCUUAACUGUGGGCGUGCGGGCGAUACGGGCAGACUUGAGUACUGCAGGGGAGACUGGAAUUCCUGGUGUAGCGGUGAAAUGCGCAGAUAUCAGGAGGAACACCGGUGGCGAAGGCGGGUCUCUGGGCCGUAACUGACGCUGAGGAGCGAAAGCGUGGGGAGCGAACAGG
RNAcentral lists this ribosomal RNA (253 nucleotides) under uncultured bacterium. RNAcentral's name for it is "partial 16S ribosomal RNA". It matches the Rfam family "Bacterial small subunit ribosomal RNA", at positions 524 to 776 of the family's 1533-position model. The record is from RNAcentral.